This 411-nucleotide unclassified non-coding RNA is filed under the name soil metagenome. RNAcentral's name for it is "partial contains 5.8S ribosomal RNA, internal transcribed spacer 2, and large subunit ribosomal RNA". The stretch from base 1 to 122 matches the Rfam family "5.8S ribosomal RNA", at positions 35 to 154 of the family's 154-position model. The record is from RNAcentral.
GAUGAAGAACGUAGCGAAAUGCGAUACUUGGUGUGAAUUGCAGAAUCCCGUGAACCAUCGAGUCUUUGAACGCAAGUUGCGCCCGAAGCCGUCAGGCCGAGGGCACGCCUGCCUGGGCGUCACACGCCGUUGCCCCCCCGCGCCCCGCACCCAACGCUUUGGGAGCGACCGCGGGGCGGGCUGAUGAUGGCCUCCCGUGCGCUCCGCCGCGCGGUUGGCCCAAAUACCGAGUCCCCGGCGACGUGCGCCACGACGAUCGGUGGUUGAGAGACCUCUGUCGCAAGUCGUGCGCGCCCGUCGCGUCACGCGGGCUCGCAUAGCGCCUCGCGCCGCACCCGGUGCGGAGCUUUCAACGCGACCCCAGGUCAGGCGGGGUUACCCGCUGAAUUUAAGCAUAUCAAUAAGCGGGGA